CCUACGGGGGGUAGCAGUGAGGAAUAUUGGUCAAUGGACGAGAGUCUGAACCAGCCAAGUAGCGUGAAGGAUGACUGCCCUAUGGGUUGUAAACUUCUUUUAUAUGGGAAUAAAAUGUUCCACGUGUGGGAUUUUGUAUGUACCAUAUGAAUAAGGAUCGGCUAACUCCGUGCCAGCAGCCGCGGUAAUACGGAGGAUCCGAGCGUUAUCCGGAUUUAUUGGGUUUAAAGGGAGCGUAGGUGGAUUGUUAAGUCAGUUGUGAAAGUUUGCGGCUCAACCGUAAAAUUGCAGUUGAAACUGGCAGUCUUGAGUACAGUAGAGGUGGGCGGAAUUCGUGGUGUAGCGGUGAAAUGCUUAGAGAUCACGAAGAACUCCGAUUGCGAAGGCAGUUCACUGGACUGCAACUGACACUGAGGCUCGAAAGUGUGGGUAUCAAACAGGAUUAGAUACCCGAGUAGUC
This 460-nucleotide ribosomal RNA is filed under the name uncultured bacterium. RNAcentral describes it as "partial 16S ribosomal RNA". It matches the Rfam family "Bacterial small subunit ribosomal RNA", at positions 338 to 795 of the family's 1533-position model. The record is from RNAcentral.